GUGCUUGCUUCAGCAGCAUAUCUAGUAAAAUUGGAACAAUACAGAGAAGAUCAGCAUGGUCCCUGCACAAGGAUGACACACAAAUUUGUUAUACAUUCCAUAUUCUU
Small nuclear RNA from Gracilinanus agilis (Agile Gracile Mouse Opossum), 107 nucleotides. NCBI's taxonomy places the organism in Eukaryota, Metazoa, Chordata, Mammalia, Didelphimorphia, Didelphidae. The record is from RefSeq and is a predicted model, not a curated record.